This 45-nucleotide non-coding RNA is filed under the name Schistosoma mattheei. Lineage: Eukaryota; Metazoa; Platyhelminthes; Trematoda; Strigeidida; Schistosomatidae. The record is from RNAcentral.
AUCUAGCUGACGAGUCGGAAAUAAGAUGAAACACAUGUCCAGGAU